Molecule: ribosomal RNA, 768 nt
Filed under: uncultured bacterium
Lineage: Bacteria
Description: bacterial SSU rRNA
Rfam family: Bacterial small subunit ribosomal RNA
Source: RNAcentral
AUUGAACGCUGGCGGCAGGCCUAACACAUGCAAGUCGAGCGGCAGCGACUUAACUGAACCUUCGGGGAACGUUAAGGGCGGCGAGCGGCGGACGGGUGAGUAAUGCCUGGGAAUAUGCCCUGAUGUGGGGGAUAACUAUUGGAAACGAUAGCUAAUACCGCAUAAUCUCUUCGGGGCAAAGAGGGGGACCUUCGGGCCUCUCGCGUCAGGAUUAGCCCAGGUGGGAUUAGCUUGUUGGUGAGGUAAUGGCUCACCAAGGCAACGAUCCCUAGCUGGUCUGAGAGGAUGAUCAGCCACACUGGAACUGAGACACGGUCCAGACUCCUACGGGAGGCAGCAGUGGGGAAUAUUGCACAAUGGGGGAAACCCUGAUGCAGCCAUGCCGCGUGUGUGAAGAAGGCCUUCGGGUUGUAAAGCACUUUCAGUAGGGAGGAAGGUAGUGUAGUUAACACCUGCACUAUUUGACGUUACCUACAGAAGAAGCACCGGCUAACUCCGUGCCAGCAGCCGCGGUAAUACGGAGGGUGCGAGCGUUAAUCGGAAUUACUGGGCGUAAAGCGCAUGCAGGCGGCCUGUUAAGUCAGAUGUGAAAGCCCGGGGCUUAACCUCGGAAUUGCAUUUGAAACUGGCAGGCUAGAGUCUUGUAGAGGGGGGUAGAAUUUCAGGUGUAGCGGUGAAAUGCGUAGAGAUCUGAAGGAAUACCAGUGGCGAAGCGGCCCCCUGGACAAAGACUGACGCUCAGAUGCGAAAGCGUGGGGAGCAAACAGG